GAACUGAAUUCUCCAAAAGUUAUAUUUGUCUGUCCUAGUUCUACCCUCUGUGGUUAAACUAGCAAGCUAUAAUCAUUUUUCCAUAUGGAAGUACUUUUUCUAUUUGAAGAGUUUUCAAAUCUCUUUGGAUAAUCUUAUCCCAGAUCCUUCAACUAUUUCUCCUGAUUUUGAGAACUUCACCGUCUUGAUCACUUUCUGUGGAAAAGCUCUGCUUACUGAACAACUCUGAAUGAGGGAAAUGAUAUUUUUUAAGAGCCAGGAGGCAUAUAAAUGUUCUCAGGCCACCAUCUUGAACCAAGAGGUAUCAGAACCAAGAAAAGUGUUAAAUGCUUAAUCGCCAGCAACACUACUCUCGUACUUUGGGACUUUUAUUAGAUAAAGUAACUGUUCCUUGAACGCAAGCACUGCCAUACCAGAAAGUCGAUGUGAUCGCAGAAAGGGCGGCUAAGUGACUCACAGGUGGAAAGCUGUUACAGCGUGGAUCUGCUGGACAAAGGGAAGAUUCAUGUCCUGAGAGGGACGGAACCUGACGGCCCAAGGUUUCAUCACACUACUCAGAACUGCAGUUGCUGCUGUAAAUGGAUUCCAAAACCACUUUUAAUUGACCCACCCCUACAUUGCCUCAGUUCAUCUCUCAUUCUGCACCAGCUGCCUGUUGUCCCAAAGUUUCAAUGCUAAUUCCACUAUGGCAUGCUCCUGGAAACUUAUGCAUAAGGAAUCUGGAACCAUCUGGUUUUAGUCGACUUUUUAAAAAUACGUUUUAGUGUCACAGUUGUAUUAUUAAACAUAAUUAUGCCUGGUA
Pan troglodytes (chimpanzee) is the source of this 802-nucleotide long non-coding RNA. RefSeq lists it as uncharacterized. The record is from RefSeq and is a predicted model, not a curated record. Lineage: Eukaryota; Metazoa; Chordata; Mammalia; Primates; Hominidae. The transcript is spliced from 4 exons.